UACACACCGCCCGUCACACCAUGGGAGUGGGUUUCACCAGAAGUAGUUAGCCUAACCGCAAGGAGGGCGACUACCACGGUGAGAUUCAUGACGUGGGGUGAAGUCGUAACAACGGUACC
This 119-nucleotide ribosomal RNA is filed under the name uncultured bacterium. Its description in RNAcentral is "partial 16S ribosomal RNA". It matches the Rfam family "Bacterial small subunit ribosomal RNA", at positions 1384 to 1500 of the family's 1533-position model. The record is from RNAcentral.